The submitters of this non-coding RNA (60 nucleotides) gave its source as unclassified sequences. The record is from Rfam.
CGACCGCUGCCGUGCGCGCACGGGAGCCAAGGCCAGACGGACAGCCGGGUCGAAUGCCGA